RNAcentral lists this ribosomal RNA (886 nucleotides) under uncultured bacterium. RNAcentral's name for it is "bacterial SSU rRNA". It matches the Rfam family "Bacterial small subunit ribosomal RNA", at positions 104 to 968 of the family's 1533-position model. The record is from RNAcentral.
GGGUGAGUAACACGUGGGUGAUCUACCUCAGAGUGGGGGAUAACCUUCCGAAAGGAGGGCUAAUACCGCAUGACGUUCUGGGUUUGAAGACCUGGAAACCAAAGUCGGGGACCGCAAGGCCUGACGCUUGGAGAGGAGCCCGCGCCUGAUUAGCUAGUUGGCGGGGUAACGGCCCACCAAGGCGACGAUCAGUAGCCGGCCUGAGAGGGCGGACGGCCACACUGGGACUGGGACACGGCCCAGACUCCUACGGGAGGCAGCAGUGGGGAAUUGUUCGCAAUGGGCGCAAGCCUGACGACGCAACGCCGCGUGGAGGAUGAAGGUCUUCGGAUUGUAAACUCCUGUUGAUCGGGACGAACGGGCUCCGGAUUAAUACACCGGAGCAGUGACGGUACCGAUUGAGGAAGCCACGGCUAACUCUGUGCCAGCAGCCGCGGUAAUACAGAGGUGGCAAGCGUUGUUCGGAAUUACUGGGCGUAAAGGGCGCGUAGGCGGCCUUGUCAGUCAGACGUGAAAUCCCCAGGCUUAACCUGGGAACUGCGUCUGAUACUACAAGGCUGGAGUUCGGGAGAGGAAUGUGGAAUUCCAGGUGUAGCGGUGAAAUGCGUAGAUAUCUGGAGGAACACCGGUGGCGAAGGCGGCAUUCUGGACCGAAACUGACGCUGAGGCGCGAAAGCCAGGGGAGCAAACGGGAUUAGAUACCCCGGUAGUCCUGGCCCUAAACGAUGAGUGCUUGGUGUGGCGGGUAUCGAUCCCUGCCGUGCCGAAGCUAACGCAUUAAGCACUCCGCCUGGGGAGUACGGUCGCAAGGCUGAAACUCAAAGGAAUUGACGGGGGCCCGCACAAGCGGUGGAGCAUGUGGUUCAAUUCGACGCAACGCGAAGAA